UCUCUCCCUCUUUCUCCUUCUCUCUCCUUGAUCCCUCUGCUUCUCUUUCUCUGCUCCUUUCUUGAUGCUUAGGGUGGUUUGGAGCUGGAGGGAUUGGACCUUGAUUUAAGUGUUGUUGACAACAAAGCAUCACAGAGGGUA
Long non-coding RNA from Empidonax traillii (willow flycatcher), 141 nucleotides. RefSeq lists it as uncharacterized. NCBI's taxonomy places the organism in Eukaryota, Metazoa, Chordata, Aves, Passeriformes, Tyrannidae. The transcript is spliced from 4 exons. The record is from RefSeq and is a predicted model, not a curated record.